AGAGUUUGAUCAUGGCUCAGAUUGAACGCUGGCGGAAUGCUUUACACAUGCAAGUCGAACGGCAGCACGGGAGCUUGCUCCUGGUGGCGAGUGGCGAACGGGUGAGUAAUGCGUCGGAACGUACCGAGUAAUGGGGGAUAACGCAGCGAAAGCUGUGCUAAUACCGCAUACGCCCUGAGGGGGAAAGUGGGGGAUCGCAAGACCUCACGUUAUUCGAGCGGCCGACGUCUGAUUAGCUAGUUGGUGGGGUAAAGGCUCACCAAGGCGACGAUCAGUAGCGGGUCUGAGAGGAUGAUCCGUCACACUGGAACUGAGACACGGUCCAGACUCCUACGGGAGGCAGCAGUGGGGAAUUUUGGACAAUGGGGGCAACCCUGAUCCAGCCAUUCCGCGUGAGUGAAGAAGGCCUUCGGGUUGUAAAGCUCUUUCAGCCGGAACGAAACGGUACGCACUAAUAUUGUGUGCUAAUGACGGUACCGGCAGAAGAAGCACCGGCUAACUACGUGCCAGCAGCCGCGGUAAUACGUAGGGUGCGAGCGUUAAUCGGAAUUACUGGGCGUAAAGCGUGCGCAGGCGGAUUGUUAAGCAAGAUGUGAAAUCCCCGGGCUUAACCUGGGAAUGGCAUUUUGAACUGGCAGUCUAGAGUGUGUCAGAGGGGGGUGGAAUUCCACGUGUAGCAGUGAAAUGCGUAGAUAUGUGGAGGAACACCAAUGGCGAAGGCAGCCCCCUGGGAUAACACUGACGCUCAUGUACGAAAGCGUGGGUAGCAAACAGGAUUAGAUACCCUGGUAGUCCACGCCCUAAACGAUGUCAACUGGUUGUUGGGGGAGUGAAAUCCCUUAGUAACGAAGCUAACGCGUGAAGUUGACCGCCUGGGGAGUACGGUCGCAAGAUUAAAACUCAAAGGAAUUGACGG
Molecule: ribosomal RNA, 916 nt
Filed under: uncultured bacterium
Lineage: Bacteria
Description: bacterial SSU rRNA
Rfam family: Bacterial small subunit ribosomal RNA
Source: RNAcentral